GACAGAGGUGCCAAGCGUUAGGCGGAAUCACUGGGCUUAAAGCGUGUGUAGGCGGAUUUCUAAGUACCUUGUGAAAUCCCACGGCUCAACCGUGGAACUGCUCGGUAUACUGGGAAUCUUGAGCCACUUAGGGGUCGUCGGAACAAGCGGUGGAGCGGUGAAAUGCGUAGAUAUCGAGAGGAACACCUGCGGCGAAGGCGGGUUGCUGGGCUGAUACUGACGCUGAGGCGCGAAAGCCAGGGGAGCGAACGGG
This 253-nucleotide ribosomal RNA is filed under the name uncultured bacterium. RNAcentral's name for it is "partial 16S ribosomal RNA". It matches the Rfam family "Bacterial small subunit ribosomal RNA", at positions 524 to 776 of the family's 1533-position model. The record is from RNAcentral.